AAAAAACAGCUCCAAAGAAGCAGCUGAAAGAGCACAAAGACACAACAGGAAAAGAAAAUCUUCAGUCUCACAAUGUGACGAGAGAAAAAGUGACCCACACGCCAAAAGUAAUGAAAGAGUUUGAUGAAGUUCCAUCUUCAAAAAAACCCAAAGAGGAAACUGAAGACAUGACUUCCAUGAAGAAAGCAAAAACUCCCAUCAGUUUCUUCCAGUGUGUCUACUUGGAUGGGUACAACGGAUACGGAUUCCAAUUUCCUGUUACACCAGCACACCAACCUGAGAGCUCUAGUCACUCAAAAUCACCAGGACAGAAGCAACAAGGGCAAUAGGCAUGCGUGUUUGGACCUGCAAGCUUGUAAGAUUCUGAGUGUUAGAUCUUCCCUUGUGAUCCACUGGAGUACUUCCAGUGUGACCCAUUGGGUCAUUUGUAUUUGCAAACAUUUUAUUUCCUCAUCUGGUACUAUAAAAAAUGUGGAUAAGGUGACUGAAAAUCGAAGUAGGAAUACUGAAGCACCUCAUGUCGGGAUUGGUGCUCAAAGAGCUCCUGUUAAAUUGUGUGGUUUUAUUGUUGUUGUGUGUGCAUUUAAUUGCCUGUACAAUUCUACUUUCUUUUUCCCUGUGUACAGGUUUUUCUGUUAACAUGGACAAUUUUUCAAUCCUGUGUAAACCUAAGCUUUGAGUCACUCAGUAAGGUAGAGCUAAAGAGCUUAACCUUGUUUACACAUAUUUGUAUUUAUGUUGUGACCACAGAACCAAGACAUCUUUACUACACCAUUUUAUUUAAGAUCCUCAUGGGCCUUUUUCAGCGCUCAAAGAAAAUGGUAAAUAUGUCAUAGAAUACAAUCCAACAGACAUUUAUUAAGCACCUACUGUAUACUAAUAGCACUGUGCCAGGUACUGAGGAUACAGUGACAAAUAUGAAACAGUCCUUGCCCUCAAGGAGUUUACAUUCUACUGCCUGAUAAGUCUAUCUACAGUUUAUAUUAUGCCAUAUUCACCAGCAGCACUGCACAAUUCAUUUGGAUGGUACUGGUGGAUUGUUUGUUUACUGUUUUUAGGCAAACACAACAUGACAUUUCCAGACAUCUCCAGAUAGCAUUAUAUAGCCAAAAAAAAUGCCGACUGGAAGAAACUUCACAGUAAUCCCUGAGAAUAGGUAAUAUAUGGCAAACAUAUUUUCAUUCACUUUGAUAAAUCCUUUCUGAGGAGUUUGUUCUCUCAAAGUGGAAAUACUUGAAUGUCAACAAAGAUGGAGGAAGGCACUUCAGAUGGAAGUGCUGCUCCUAGAGCACUUUAUUUAUUUUUUCUAGACAGUCAAUCAUCAGAGCUAGGGAAAGGGAUAACAUGACUUUGAACCUCAUGAGAGUGUUUCACUGGAAAUGGGAUGUUGAUGGUCGUGCUCCCUUUUGGCCUCCCUAGAGCUGUAAAUACCAAUGUUUCUUGACCACAUUUCUCCAUGGACACUAAAAUCCAUAUAGCUGUGACCUUCAUCGCACUUACAGUUCCUAUCUGAUUUAUGAUAGAGUAACUCAGAAAAUAGAGUUAUUCUUGCUAUAACUUAACUUCAUCUCAAAGAUCUGAGACAGCCAGGAUCAGCCCUAGCUUAAGUAAACCAUUGACUUUCAUGGGAUGCAAAUGAUUGUGGUUUUAUAGGUCAGAAAAUUUAUUUUACAAUCAAAUCAUUAAGCAAAUGUCUUAUUGCCAUGAAUAAGUAUGCUAAGAAUAAUUUGGUGGUCUUAAGCAAGAUGAUAAAACAUUCACACCCCAAAUGUCACUAUUACAACUAAUCGAUACUGAUUAUGUUCCUUAUAGUGGGACCCAGAUUAGGUCAAUCCAAAACUAAGUUGAUUUUCACAGCAAAGGGUAGUCAGUUUCUCCAAGGUAGAGCUGAAGUAUGUGGAUGGGACAGUGUUUGAUGUUUACUUUCUAAUGACAUACCUGUUUCAAAUUUAGAGCUAAUUUUAUAGUACUUUGACCUCUAAGACUUCAAUAAGACAGCAUGGGCUAGUGGAUAAAAGGCUAUAUUGGAUCCCAGGGGACUGAGGUUCCCUUUUCAAUGCUGCUUGAGAAAAAUCACUCAAUCUCCCCACCUCAUUUCUCAAUCUAUAAAAUGUGGAAGUAAAAAUGUUACUAUAGUAUUUUCUUGGAGAGAUUAUAGUGAAUAUGAUGAAAUAUUUGCAAAAUCCUUUGACUAUCUUAAAGGAGAACUGAUUGUAAUAAGAAUUUAAAAUACUACUUUUUUUUUACUAAAAUGAGUAUUCUCUAACUACUUAUCUAUAUUGCCCUUAGCUAGUUCUUACAUUCUUAUCCUGGGAUUUAUUUGUAUUUUUAAAAAUGGGCUAAAAUACAGUUUUGCAUGACUAGAAUCUUGAUGAAUAAAUAGUAGAAAAAUUUAUGAAAUGAUUUCUACAUGUAAAGCAAUGAGAUAAGGGCUGGAGAUAAAUAUAGAAAAGUAAGACAGCCCCUGCUUUUGAGGAGCUCACAUUCAAAUUGGGGCAGAGAACACACAGAAAGUUUCAGCCUCAAGCUAGAUAAAAAGAUUGCAUGGUCUUUGGAGUACGUAGGCAAAGCAAAUUUAGUGAAGUAACUACACUGGACAUAUGAUUUAUAAUGAAUCAAAAUUACCUCUACACAUCAUAUUUAAUUUUACCUGAGUUGAGCUGUUAUAGUGAAAUUGUUUUUGACAAUGUAAAUUACAAUGUUAUCUGUUAAUAUGCUUUUUUCAGAUGAAUGCUUCCUAUCCCCUUUUAAUCACAUUUACACAUUGUAAGAAAUUAUAAGAGAAUAAAUCAGCGACUCCAUCCUUAAUAGAUCAAUCAUAACAUAUCAUUUUGACCUUGAAGGUAUAAAAGUUUGAAAUUGAACUCUGUCUCUAUAAUUGUUCAAUUGAUGUGUUUGACCUACUUACUUCCCAGAAUAACAAAUGAAGUCCUAAAGAAAAUCAUGCUCUUCCUACCUUUAAGACUUUUGUUUUCCUUAAAUUUCAAAAACUCAAGUUUCCUUGCUAAAGCAUUAUUCAGUAUUUCUUGGCUUUGUUGACAUAAUUCUAUUCAGAAAAAAAAUUAGGCUAUAGAAUGUUAGAAAAUAUAGGGAUUUUAGGCUAGUAAAACUCAUUUUGCAGAUUGGAACUUUAUGUCAAGAUUAGUGAAAUGACUUAUACCCCACUUAUGUUGCUAAUUAGUGACAAAAUUAGAACUAGAACCCAGGUUUUGUGACUCACUCCCAUACUCUUUUGUCUAUAUUCAUUCAUUUCUUCAACAAAUGUUUAAUUAAUCAUCUACACUGUAAAAGACACUUUCUUUGAAACCUGGUUCAUUUUACAUUAUGUCAAUAAGCACAUUUUGUGUGUGUGUUAUCAGUGAUAGAAUUGAAAUAAUUCAUUCUGAAAAUUCUAACUGCAAUGUCACAGACUCAUAGUAUGUUAUAGCUGGAAGGAACCUUAGAGAUUAUAUAGGUUAACACUAUCCUACAGAAAAGGAACCUAGAGGACAGACAGGGAAGGAGAUUUGUUUAAGGUUGCAUAGCUAAAGUGCUGAGAUUAGAAGUCAAGAGAAGUGUUUUUCCUUUAGUGUCAUCUUAUUAUUUUGAUAUGAUUUGCUAUUCCUUACGAUUUUCUUUUUUCUUAUGAUUUCUAAACUGAUUGAACCUUCAUCACUCACAUUGUGUUCAUAGAUAAUGGACUCAGAGAAGUGCCUUCAUUCCAACUUCCAGAGGUCCUCUGCUCUUGUUACUCUACCUACUGACAGCGUCAUGUAAUAUAUUUGUGACCUAACCGUUUAUGUCCUUUGACAGAUAUUUUUGUUUAAACAUUUAAAAACAAGGAACAAGAUUUGUUCAUCUAUAUAAAAUUAUUAACGGUGUAAGUAGCAGUAGCAAAGAUAGACCCUGUAAUAUUUAUGGAUCAAAAGAGAAGACAAACCCAUUUUCAUAAAUACACACACACCUGAAACAGACCCAGCCUAAUAUAAUAAUAAACAGGGAAUGUAAAUGGUGGGUAAAUGGCUUGGGGAUUAUUUGAAUGCUAAGUGAUAGUUACAACAUAUCCUAACAUUUGUUAACAAGCACAACCUGUGCAUGUUUCCAUAAAGCUGGUAGAUUAACAAAGCAUUCCCAAAAAUGAAAUGAUAAUAUGCCAUGUUAAGCAAUAUGCAUAGCUCAUUCUUUCAGCAAAUUUCAUUUGAAAAUCUGGUUUCAUUUCCUUGGGUUUUGUGCUGCCAAGGCUAAACCACUGAACAACUCUUGUCAUCAAGUUAUAAUGACAGCAUUUAAAAGUAGCUGCAUCAUAUUUGAUGAUACACAAAACCUAUGUACACAAAUAAACACAAGCUGUUCUUGCCAAGUUCACAUUUCUGGAGCAAUGAUUUGGAACUGAAGAACAGGAAAAGAGCUAAGUCAUGAAAAUUACUUUAGUGGUUUGUCACAAGGCUUCUCUCCACACUGUUGAAUGAUAUCUUUAUUCUACCAAAGACAGAGUGUGAGGCCAAGUAGCUUCCCGUUGUCCAGUCCUGUUCUCUCACAUCAUUCUAAAUUUACUCAGCAGUUAUGAUUUGGGUUUUGUUGACAUAAUAUAAAAGUCAACAAGAAGAGACAGGGAACUCAUUUUAGAACCCAACUUAACAAUUGGGAUUUUGCCACUGAUGAAAAUUCACACAGUUUCAGUAGGGUAAAAAAAAAUAUGCUGGUAAUACCCUUCUUGUAGAAAUGUAAUAAGUCAAAAGUAGCAAUACACCCAUCAAUCCAAUGCAACAGAAUCCAGAAUAGAGCUUUGUAAUACAGCUUUUUGAAAAGAUAGUUAGACUUGAAAGGACUUUUGAACCCCAAUGGUUCAGCAUGGCACUUUGAAAUUCUUUGGAAAGGCUGACAAAUCAGUGUCCAGAAAUCUCAGCUAUACUUUAACCCAAUGCCUGGCUAUAUCAUUCAAACUAUUCUGAAGUUUGCUACUUCUUUUAUGCAAAUCACAUGUCCUAUUUCUCUCUUUUUAGCCAAACCAAUAGAAGUCCCUUCCCCACCUUUUAAAAGUAACAGAACGCAUAUUUCUCCUAGAAAACUGUUACACAAACAUGAGAGGGAAUUGAAAGGAUAUAAAUGGAAGAAAGGAAGUAGACUUCAUUGCAAUGGCAACAGUGUUGCAUGUCAAAUAUGUUCUAUGUUCUCAUGUCUAGUCACAGAUAUGUAUCCAUAUAUACAUGCUGAAACAUAGCAUGCCAAAAAUGUUCCCUUUGAUAUUGGAACAGAGCAACUAAUCAAUUAAUCAUCCUGGUUCAUUAAUUCUUAAAAAAACAACCAAGAGUAAUAACAAGAACUGGGACACACAGGUAAAAUGCAUAGUUCAAUUGACAGUAUUAAAAAUGACUGCACAGAUUAUUUGACUCUCUUGCUGAGUUUAAUGAGUAUACUAAACAUAACUUUAGUUUUGGUUGUAAAUAUAUGUGUGGGGUUCCAUUUCCCUCCAGACCUAUAAUAUUAUCUCUGAGAAUCUCUGGCAUAGAAAUUUCUUAUAUAGAUUAUCAGAUCAGUUUUAUAGAGUUACUUGGGAGUACUGAGAGUUUAAGUCAUUUGCCCAUGAUCAUAUAGCUAAUAUGUGUCUGAGGCAGGACUUGAACCCGCUUCCAUUCUCCCGACUUCAUUCUGCCUCCCUGAAAAUGAGCUAUUGUACUUUAAAUAAUCAACAUUUCCAUAUAGAUGUGGAAAUUGCCAAAGCGGAGAAGGCAAAAGAAAAAAUUGUAAUUUUAACAUUUUAAUUCCAGAAAUGCAGAAAGAAUGAACACUUUGACUUAGCAAUUAGGUAUUGGAAUAAUAGAAAUCACAGAACUAUUUCAGACCUAAGGAAAUAAAGCCUACAUUUAAUCUCAUCGUGGUGCUGCAUGACAGAGUUUAAAGAAAUCAAAGUGUCAUGAUUCAUACCAUUAACACCUCCAGCUUUCCAGCAGCACCUUUGAUGUGCUAUAACCUCAUUUGAACAGAAGUGACAAUAGUCUUAGCUCAUCUUUGUUCAAAAACAUUUUUGACUAAGAGUGCUGAGAAAUCCCAUUCACGUUCAUUUUAUUCAGGUUUGCUGGAGCCUGGAUCUCCAUGUCUACUGAGAUGUACUUUUAGAAUGGGGGGCUUAAUAGGAUUUAUAGUGUAUAACUAGCUUAAAAGCUAUCCAAAUAGUACAAGGUCUAACAAAAGCUUAUUGUGAUUUAUUUCAGGGGGAUACUUUAUGCUCAUCCUAUUGAAAAAUGCUAUUAAGAGUGUGAUCUACAGCAAGCAGGUCAUGAGCUGCUACCUACCCCUUAGCUUAUUUGAUGAUCUGGAGUGGUUUUGUGCCAGAUUAGAGAAGUCGUAACGCACCGUACUAUGCCCAGAUUCUCAAACAGUGUACAAAUAAAGCAGAAUUCAUGUCGUUUUUUAAAGGAGAAAUUUUAGGAGUAAUACAAAAAGCAUAACUUCUAUAUGUUACAAAAUGCAAAAAGAGUCUUGGGAGUCCAUUCAGACUAUCUCAUUUACUAGGGAUAAUUUGGCCCACAGCUCAAUGUAUGAUCUUUGUCUUUUUAGUUUCUCUCCUGUUAUCUUUCUGUCAGAAGACUGUCAGCCAUUGAAAUAAAUAGCAAUUUCAAAUCAA
Trichosurus vulpecula (common brushtail) is the source of this 6604-nucleotide long non-coding RNA. RefSeq lists it as uncharacterized. Lineage: Eukaryota; Metazoa; Chordata; Mammalia; Diprotodontia; Phalangeridae. The transcript is spliced from 6 exons. The record is from RefSeq and is a predicted model, not a curated record.